RNAcentral lists this ribosomal RNA (726 nucleotides) under uncultured Staphylococcus sp. RNAcentral's name for it is "bacterial SSU rRNA". It matches the Rfam family "Bacterial small subunit ribosomal RNA", at positions 69 to 780 of the family's 1533-position model. Lineage: Bacteria; Bacillati; Bacillota; Bacilli; Caryophanales; Staphylococcaceae. The record is from RNAcentral.
AGACGAGGAGCUUGCUCCUCUGACGUUAACGGCGGACGGGUGAGUAACACGUGGAUAACCUACCUAUAAGACUGGGAUAACUUCGGGAAACCGGAGCUAAUACCGGAUAAUAUAUUGAACCGCAUGGUUCAAUAGUGAAAGACGGUUUUGCUGUCACUUAUAGAUGGAUCCGCGCCGCAUUAGCUAGUUGGUAAGGUAACGGCUUACCAAGGCAACGAUGCGUAGCCGACCUGAGAGGGUGAUCGGCCACACUGGAACUGAGACACGGUCCAGACUCCUACGGGAGGCAGCAGUAGGGAAUCUUCCGCAAUGGGCGAAAGCCUGACGGAGCGACGCCGCGUGAGUGAUGAAGGUCUUCGGAUCGUAAAACUCUGUUAUUAGGGAAGAACAAAUGUGUAAGUAACUAUGCACGUCUUGACGGUACCUAAUCAGAAAGCCACGGCUAACUACGUGCCAGCAGCCGCGGUAAUACGUAGGUGGCAAGCGUUAUCCGGAAUUAUUGGGCGUAAAGCGCGCGUAGGCGGUUUUUUAAGUCUGAUGUGAAAGCCCACGGCUCAACCGUGGAGGGUCAUUGGAAACUGGAAAACUUGAGUGCAGAAGAGGAAAGUGGAAUUCCAUGUGUAGCGGUGAAAUGCGCAGAGAUAUGGAGGAACACCAGUGGCGAAGGCGACUUUCUGGUCUGUAACUGACGCUGAUGUGCGAAAGCGUGGGGAUCAAACAGGAUUA